RNAcentral lists this ribosomal RNA (494 nucleotides) under uncultured bacterium. Its description in RNAcentral is "partial 16S ribosomal RNA". It matches the Rfam family "Bacterial small subunit ribosomal RNA", at positions 28 to 507 of the family's 1533-position model. The record is from RNAcentral.
GACGAACGCUGGCGGCGUGCUUAACACAUGCAAGUCGAACGGAAAGGCCUGCUUUCCCUUGUGGAUUGCGGGUACUCGAGUGGCGAACGGGUGAGUAACACGUGAGUGAUCUGCCCCCAACUUGGGUAUAAGCCUGGGAAACUGGGUCUAAUUCCCGAUAGGACUGCAGGGUGGUGCCUGUGGUGGAAAACGAUUUUCUAGUGGUUGGGGAUGAGCUCGCGGCCUAUCAGCUUGUUGGUGGGGUAAUGGCCUACCAAGGCGGCGACGGGUAGCCGGCCUGAGAGGGUGGACGGCCACAUUGGGACUGAGAUACGGCCCAGAAUCCUACGGGAGGCAGCAGUGGGGAAUAUUGCACAAUGGGCGGAAGCCUGAUGCAGCGACGCAGCGUGGGGGAUGACGGCCUUCGGGUUGUAAACUCCUUUCGACCGCGAGGAAGCCACCUGGUUGGAAGGGUGGUGACGGUAGUGGUAGAAGAAGCACCGGCUAACUACGUG